AUAAGCCUCAGAGGAAACAGAAAUACUGAUGCAUGCUUCACGUUUUUAUUCCCAGCCUGUAUCCCCUACCAAGCCCUGGGAAAUCAACAGAAACGGCUGAUCUGAACCUGGAGCUCGGGUCUGGAAAGGGUCCAUACUGCUCAGCUUGAAACCUCGGUACCAAGAAAUAGCUCUGUGCUCUGAGGAGCCUAAUCUUGCCAUGAUGGUCGGUUCACUGUGCUGCCAACAACUAGGCCAAGAACGGCCUUUGGCUCUCGGCCGAAAAUCAGCCUGCCCACCAGAGGGAACUCUACAGAACACUGCAAUCAAUUCCACCCAAAUGCUGGUCUGCACUGUGAUGGCUCAAUAAGAUGUUCCACUGUCCCUUUGGUUUUCUGAGAAAUGCUAUUCACCAUCUUCUCUGCUUCCAUGGCACUUCCUGUGUACAAAUCAUGCAACACCUGCCCGUACUGCACAUUCACAAGACUCCCCUGAAGCCCUGGUAGAAACCUCGUAUUGUCAUCAUCAUAUCUCCAGGAUCCAGAAUAGAGAAUGAAUCCUA
This 541-nucleotide long non-coding RNA is filed under the name Fukomys damarensis (Damara mole-rat). Its description in RNAcentral is "lncRNA (ENSFDAG00000030296.1)". Lineage: Eukaryota; Metazoa; Chordata; Mammalia; Rodentia; Bathyergidae. The record is from RNAcentral.